Molecule: unclassified non-coding RNA, 23 nt
Filed under: Mus musculus (house mouse)
Lineage: Eukaryota; Metazoa; Chordata; Mammalia; Rodentia; Muridae
Description: oocyte_clustered_small_RNA5718
Source: RNAcentral
UGGGGAGUGGGAGCAGCUUGAGG